UACGGAGGGGGCUAGCGUUGUUCGGAAUUACUGGGCGUAAAGAGCUCGUAGGUGGUUUGUCGCGUUGUUCGUGAAAACUCACAACUCAAUUGUGGGCGUGCGGGCGAUACGGGCAGACUGGAGUACUGCAGGGGAGACUGGAAUUCCUGGUGUAGCGGUGGAAUGCGCAGAUAUCAGGAGGAACACCGGUGGCGAAGGCGGGUCUCUGGGCAGUAACUGACGCUGAGGAGCGAAAGCGUGGGGAGCGAACAGG
This 253-nucleotide ribosomal RNA is filed under the name uncultured bacterium. RNAcentral's name for it is "partial 16S ribosomal RNA". It matches the Rfam family "Bacterial small subunit ribosomal RNA", at positions 524 to 776 of the family's 1533-position model. The record is from RNAcentral.